AGUGAACGCUGGCGGUAGGCCUAACACAUGCCAGUCGAACGGCAGCACAGUAAGAGCUUGCUCUUACGGGUGGCGAGUGGCGGACGGGUGAGGAAUACAUCGGAAUCUACUUUUUCGUGGGGGAUAACGUAGGGAAACUUACGCUAAUACCGCAUACGACCUACGGGUGAAAGCAGGGGAUCUUCGGACCUUGCGCGAUUGAAUGAGCCGAUGUCGGAUUAGCUAGUUGGCGGGGUAAAGGCCCACCAAGGCGACGAUCCGUAGCUGGUCUGAGAGGAUGAUCAGCCACACUGGAACUGAGACACGGUCCAGACUCCUACGGGAGGCAGCAGUGGGGAAUAUUGGACAAUGGGCGCAAGCCUGAUCCAGCCAUACCGCGUGGGUGAAGAAGGCCUUCGGGUUGUAAAGCCCUUUUGUUGGGAAAGAAAAGCAGCAGGUUAAUACCCCGCUGUUCUGACGGUACCCAAAGAAUAAGCACCGGCUAACUUCGCG
Molecule: ribosomal RNA, 492 nt
Filed under: uncultured bacterium
Lineage: Bacteria
Description: partial 16S ribosomal RNA
Rfam family: Bacterial small subunit ribosomal RNA
Source: RNAcentral